RNAcentral lists this non-coding RNA (94 nucleotides) under Krasilnikoviella flava. Its description in RNAcentral is "Promicromonospora flava ZTP sequence". It matches the Rfam family "ZMP/ZTP riboswitch aptamer (pfl RNA motif)". From Rfam's summary of the family: Previously known as pfl RNA. ZMP is also known as AICAR. The record is from Rfam by way of RNAcentral. Lineage: Bacteria; Bacillati; Actinomycetota; Actinomycetes; Micrococcales; Promicromonosporaceae.
CGCCGCGGUCGUGACUGGCGAAGGUGGACAACCACCGGGGAGCGGCCACCCCCAGAUCGACCCGCUGUGCGCGCCGCCCGCCUGGGUGCCAGGG